RNAcentral lists this transfer RNA (84 nucleotides) under Planctomycetota bacterium. Its description in RNAcentral is "Planctomycetes bacterium (groundwater metagenome) tRNA-Leu". It matches the Rfam family "tRNA". Rfam says of the family: Transfer RNA (tRNA) molecules are approximately 80 nucleotides in length. Their secondary structure includes four short double-helical elements and three loops (D, anti-codon, and T loops). Lineage: Bacteria; Pseudomonadati; Planctomycetota. The record is from RNAcentral.
GGGGAGAUGGCGAAAUCGGCAGCCGCAUCGGACUUAAAAUCCGAAGGCCGCAAGGCCGUGCGGGUUCGAGUCCCGCUCUCCCCA